This 485-nucleotide ribosomal RNA is filed under the name uncultured bacterium. RNAcentral's name for it is "bacterial SSU rRNA". It matches the Rfam family "Bacterial small subunit ribosomal RNA", at positions 29 to 487 of the family's 1533-position model. The record is from RNAcentral.
AACUAACGCUGGCGGCGUGCCUAACACAUGCAAGUCGUACGAGAAAGUUGGCUUCGGCCGAUGAGUACAGUGGCGCACGGGUGAGUAACGCGUGGAUAAUCUGCCCUUAAGUGUGGAAUAACGUACCGAAAGGUGCGCUAAUACCGCAUAAUGCCUGGCAACAUAAGUUGUCCGGCCAAAGAAGGCCUCUGCUUGCAAGCUUUCGCUAAAGGAUGAGUCCGCGUACCAUUAGCUAGUUGGUGGGGUAACGGCCUACCAAGGCGACGAUGGUUAGCUGGUCUGAGAGGAUGAUCAGCCACACUGGAACUGAGACACGGUCCAGACUCCUACGGGAGGCAGCAGGUGAGGAAUAUUGCGCAAUGGGGGCAACCCUGACGCAGCAACGCCGCGUGAGUGAGGAAGGUUUUCGGACUGUAAAGCUCUGUCGAGCGGGAAGAAGUGUACCAUGGGCUAAUAUCCAUGAUAUUUGACGGUACCGCUAGAGG